Molecule: ribosomal RNA, 459 nt
Filed under: uncultured bacterium
Lineage: Bacteria
Description: partial 16S ribosomal RNA
Rfam family: Bacterial small subunit ribosomal RNA
Source: RNAcentral
CCUACGGGAGGCAGCAGUGAGGAAUAUUGGUCAAUGGUCGGGAGACUGAACCAGCCAAGCUGCGUGAGGGAGGAAGGUACAGAGUAUCGUAAACCUCUUUUGUCAGGGAACAAAGGCGGGGACGUGUCCCCGGAUGAGUGUACCUGAAGAAAAAGCAUCGGCUAAACCCGUGCCAGCAGCCGCGGUAAUACGGAGGAUGCGAGUGUUAUCCGAAUUUAUUGGGUUAAAAGGGUGCGCAGGCGUUAUGGUAAGUCAGCGGUAAAAGCCCGGGGCUCAACCCAGGACCGCCGUUGAAACUGGCAGUCUCGAGUUGGAGAGAAGUAUGCGGAAUGCGCGGUGUAGCGGUGAAAUGCAUAGAUAUCGCGCAGAACUCCGAUUGCGAAGGCAGCAUGCCGGCUCCACACUGACGCUGAGGCACGAAAGCGUGGGUAUCGAACAGGAUUAGAUACCCGGGUAGUC